GAGGAAACAACCCCCCCUUUUUUGAAGAAGGCUUUCGGGUUCUAAAACCCUUGUUGUAGGGGAAGAACAGCUAGAAUAGGAAAUGAUUUUAGUUUGACGGUACCAUCCCAGAAAGGGACGGCUAAAUACGUGCCAGCAGCCGCGGUAAUACGUAUGUCCCGAGCGUUAUCCGGAUUUAUUGGGCGUAAAGCGAGCGCAGACGGUUUAUUAAGUCUGAUGUGAAAGCCCGGAGCUCAACUCCGGAAUGGCAUUGGAAACUGGUUAACUUGAGUGCAGUAGAGGUAAGUGGAACUCCAUGUGUAGCGGUGGAAUGCGUAGAUAUAUGGAAGAACACCAGUGGCGAAGGCGGCUUACUGGACUGCAACUGACGUUGAGGCUCGAAAGUGUGGGUAGCAAACAGGAUUAGAUACCCUGGUAGUCCACACCGUAAACGAUGAACACUAGGUGUUAGGAGGUUUCCGCCUCUUAGUGCCGAAGCUAACGCAUUAAGUGUUCCGCCUGGGGAGUACGACCGCAAGGUUGAAACUCAAAGGAAUUGACGGGGACCCGCACAAGCGGUGGAGCAUGUGGUUUAAUUCGAAGCAACGCGAAGAACCUUACCAGGUCUUGACAUCCUUUGAAGCUUUUAGAGAUAGAAGUGUUCUCUUCGGAGACAAAGUGACAGGUGGUGCAUGGUCGUCGUCAGCUCGUGUCGUGAGAUGUUGGGUUAAGUCCCGCAACGAGCGCAACCCUUAUUGUUAGUUGCCAGCAUUCAGAUGGGCACUCUAGCGAGACUGCCGGUGACAAACCGGAGGAAGGCGGGGACGACGUCAGAUCAUCAUGCCCCUUAUGACCUGGGCUACACACGUGCUACAAUGGCGUAUACAACGAGUUGCCAGCCCGCGAGGGUGAGCUAAUCUCUUAAAGUACGUCUCAGUUCGGAUUGUAGUCUGCAACUCGACUACAUGAAGUCGGAAUCGCUAGUAAUCGCGGAUCAGCACGCCGCGGUGAAUACGUUCCCGGGUCUUGUACACACCGCCCGUCACACCAUGGGAGUUUGUAAUGCCCAAAGCCGGUGGCCUAACCUUUAGGAAGGAGCCGUCUAAGCAGACAGAGCCUAU
Molecule: ribosomal RNA, 1100 nt
Filed under: Leuconostoc mesenteroides
Lineage: Bacteria; Bacillati; Bacillota; Bacilli; Lactobacillales; Lactobacillaceae
Description: bacterial SSU rRNA
Rfam family: Bacterial small subunit ribosomal RNA
Source: RNAcentral